CCUGUGACCGCGUGGGUUUUCCCCUUGGUGCUCCGGUUUCCUCCCAUAUUCCCAAGAUGUGGAGGUUUGCAGGUUAAUUGGCCUCUGUAAAUCGCAACUAGUGUGCAGGAUGCUAAAAAUGGGAAAAUGUAGAA
Amblyraja radiata (thorny skate) is the source of this 134-nucleotide long non-coding RNA. RefSeq lists it as uncharacterized. Lineage: Eukaryota; Metazoa; Chordata; Chondrichthyes; Rajiformes; Rajidae. The record is from RefSeq and is a predicted model, not a curated record. The transcript is spliced from 3 exons.